AUUUGGAACUGCAAAGAUAUUAAUCUUAUUCUUACCUUAGUAAAAGUUUAUUUCUCUUAAAUGUCUUAAAUGUAAAAAAAAAAAAUCAUUUAGUAGAGGAGGUAUUACAGGAAGUAACAACUAUUUAUAGGAAUUUCAAGGCAAUAAAACAAUAGGGUGAACUGUUCUUUACCCUUCAACUCCUAUUUUAAUAUUAUUACAUGUUUCUAUUCUUAAUUGGGUCACUGACCUGGAAUCAUUGAAUAUAGAAUGGCUAAGAAGGAAAAAACUAUCGAGUUAGACCUGGAACAUUCUAUAUGAGGUAAUGUUAAGUAAAAAAGUGGAGACAUGGUUUUAAUUUCUGUAUAUUUAUCAGAUACUACUUGCAGAAUAAAGAUGAGGAAUGUUGGAAUCUGAUGAAUUAAUCAACUUGAACAAAGCUUUCAAAGGACACAGCAGGGGAAGGAAUAAUCAGAGAACAAGUUGAAUUAAAAGAUAUUAAUUAUUGUGAGCCAUCACCUCAUAUUUUUAUUGUGUUUUUUUAUAGUGAAAUCAGUAAAAUCUAGUUAUAUUCCAUUAUAAAACUAUCUAUUCAUUGUGGUUUGGAUUAUGAUUUAAAUAAAUUUAGAUUCAUCUAAUUCCAUUGUAAAGGCUAUAAUUUCUGAACAUGAAU
RNAcentral lists this long non-coding RNA (652 nucleotides) under Bos taurus (domestic cattle). RNAcentral's name for it is "long non-coding RNA NONBTAT010693". The record is from RNAcentral. Lineage: Eukaryota; Metazoa; Chordata; Mammalia; Artiodactyla; Bovidae.